This 151-nucleotide unclassified non-coding RNA is filed under the name soil metagenome. Its description in RNAcentral is "partial internal transcribed spacer 1". The record is from RNAcentral.
GCGAGUAUGGCCCUCACGGGUCUAAUCCACCAUAAACACCUCUGUGAACCAGUCAGGGGGACUCGGCCGUGAAAGCCCAGGCGAUUAGCGGAAGGGCCCUCCUUUGCAAACCCGUUUAGAAGUCUUGAAAGUACUUUUGUAUAAUCUAGUA